UACGUAGGGGGCAAGCGUUGUCCGGAUUUAUUGGGCGUAAAGAGCGUGUAGGCGGCCAGAUAAGUCCGCUGUGAAAUCUCGAGGCUCAACUUCGAGCUGUCGGUGGAAACUGUCUGGCUAGAGUCCGGAAGAGGAGAAUGGAAUUCCUGGUGUAGCGGUGAAAUGCGCAGAUAUCAGGAGGAACACCAAUUGCGAAGGCAGCUCGCUGGGACGUUACUGACGCUGAGACGCGAAAGCGUGGGGAGCAAACAGG
RNAcentral lists this ribosomal RNA (253 nucleotides) under uncultured bacterium. RNAcentral's name for it is "partial 16S ribosomal RNA". It matches the Rfam family "Bacterial small subunit ribosomal RNA", at positions 524 to 776 of the family's 1533-position model. The record is from RNAcentral.